Molecule: long non-coding RNA, 603 nt
Organism: Mytilus californianus (California mussel)
Lineage: Eukaryota; Metazoa; Mollusca; Bivalvia; Mytilida; Mytilidae
Exons: 3
Source: RefSeq, a predicted model, not a curated record
UAAAAUAUAUAAUUUGCGUCAAUUUUAAUUCCUUUUUAGGUUAUUACAGUGACUGUUUUCAUGGAUGGGGAGUAAAACUUUGUGGUCUAAUACUUCUCAUAAAUGAAUAAAGAUUUUGGAUCCUUUUAGUUUGAAAGAUUGUCAGGAACAUGAAGAAACUGAAUCCAUAAUAAACAUGUGUACACAAACCGACAAAAUAACAACACUGGUUGAUACAAUUCUGGGAACCGGUGAAGAAGUUAAAAGUUUUACAAUAUACUGAAGACUUGCAAUGGAAAAUCCAGAAACAGGUCUUUUACGAAACAGUAUGAGAGAGCCAAGAUGAUUGCUGGAUUUAAAAUGCUUGGAAAAAACAACCAAAUGAAGACAAAAAAUGCACUGCAUCAACGAACAAAACAACUACUGGAACGUUGGGGCACCAGUACUGAUUUCUGAUUCUAAAAACAAUUGUUCAAAAUCUUCUACAUAUUUACGAAGACUGUACAUACAUGUAUAUAUAUAUAUAUUUAUAUAAGAAAGAAAAAAAUAAUGCAUGUGCUUGAAACUUGUCUACAUACAUGUAAUGAAUAGAAAAAAUGAAAGAAAAAAAAAAUGAAAACAAAA